CAGCCCACAAACCUGGACAUCAUGCUGAUGCCUCUUCAUGACCACUCCUGCAACCAUCCCAUCCCAUUCUUCAACUGAUACUUUGGAAUGAGCAACUAAACCACUGGAAACAUAUUAUCACUGAUGCUAACAAGUGGAAUUUGGGGAAAGAAUGAACAAGUAAAUGCUAUGGACCUG
This 177-nucleotide long non-coding RNA is filed under the name Mustela putorius furo (domestic ferret). RNAcentral's name for it is "lncRNA (ENSMPUG00000026538.1)". The record is from RNAcentral. Lineage: Eukaryota; Metazoa; Chordata; Mammalia; Carnivora; Mustelidae.